CCUACGGGAGGCAGCAGUAGGGAAUAUUGGGCAAUGGACGCAAGUCUGACCCAGCCAUGCCGCGUGCAGGAAGAAGGCGUUAUGCGUUGUAAACUGCUUUUAUACAGGAAGAAACGACUCUUGCGAGAGGCAUUGACGGUACUGUAUGAAUAAGCACCGGCUAACUCCGUGCCAGCAGCCGCGGUAAU
This 188-nucleotide ribosomal RNA is filed under the name uncultured bacterium. RNAcentral describes it as "partial 16S ribosomal RNA". It matches the Rfam family "Bacterial small subunit ribosomal RNA", at positions 338 to 524 of the family's 1533-position model. The record is from RNAcentral.